This is an RNA transcript of Solanum pennellii, 2780 nucleotides long. RefSeq lists it as uncharacterized. The record is from RefSeq and is a predicted model, not a curated record. The transcript has 9 exons. NCBI's taxonomy places the organism in Eukaryota, Viridiplantae, Streptophyta, Magnoliopsida, Solanales, Solanaceae.
GACUAGAAACCGUUUGGCUUCAUCUAAAAAAAAAAGAAGAAAAGGAAAGUUAACUUUACCUACUACUACUCUUCUUCUUCUUCUUCCUUUGCCUCUGGUUCUAGGGUUUUUUAUUGGGCAAAUCCAUUUACUUGAACAAUUUUAUUGAUUUAUUGAGUCUUUAGGUUUAGAUUUUGGAAGCAAACAUUGUUUAAUGACAAAUCAUGGGGAUGAUUUCUGGUCUUUAUUGAAUUUUAACUUCAGGUACAGGUACGUCAUAAUGUUUAUGUGACCAGCUCAACUGCUGUAGCAUCAACAGCUUUAAGGUACGGAUUGUGUGUCUCCAUGUUGCCAGAGGGUUAGUGGACGGAUGGCUUAUGCAAAGACCGCCACUCGUCUCAAGGGUUCAUUUAUCCAUCAACUGGUAGUAAUUGCUAUCUGUUUGACUAGCUAUCAGAAUGUAGUGGCUCUACAUGUGCCACAUAAGACAACUCAAACUUCUUCCACGUCUGAACUAGCUACCCCUCCCAGAAGUGGAAUCUUCGAACCAAUUGAGAUACCACCUGCUGUCAUCCCUCAUUAUCCUUUCCCCGGGAAAUCAUUGCCGCCAAUGUACCCUUCCUUUCCGAAGACAUAUGACCCUGUCUUGACUGGAAGAUGCCCUGUAAAUUUCUCUGUCAUUUCAAGCAUCACAGAAAAAACAGCAUCUGAUUGUACUCGAUCUUUGUCAACGAUAGUUGGAAAUGUAAUAUGCUGUCCACAGUUCAAUAGCUUACUCCACAUAUUCCAGGGAUUUUACAGCAACCGUUCUGAUACUUUAGUUUUACAAAGUGCAGUAGCUGAUGAUUGUUUUAGAGAUAUCAUCAGUAUAUUAACUAGUAAAGGAGCAAACAGCUCCAUUGCUGGUCUGUGCUCUGUGAAGUCGUCAAAUCUAACUGGUGGGUCUUGCCCUGUGAAGGACAUUGGUACUUUCGAAAAAAUUGUGAAUACAAGCAAGUUGUUGGAGUCUUGUAGCACGGUCGAUUCUCUUAAAGAAUGUUGUAGGCCUGUUUGUCAGCCUGCAAUUUCGGAGGCUGCUCUUCUGAUUUCAGGGAUCAAGACGGCUCUUGGUGGUAAGAACAUAGUUGGAGUACCAAAUGAAAUUGAUACACUUAGCGACUGUAAAGGAGUGGUCUACUCAUGGAUUGCAAGAAAACUACAAUUUGAUGAUGCCAAUUCUGCAUUCCGGUUAUUGUCUUCCUGCAAAGUUAAUAAGGUGUGUCCCCUGGAAUUCAAGCAGCCAUUAGAAGUGGUCAAUGCGUGCAGAAAUUUAGCCGCUCCAAGCCCUUCGUGUUGUAGCUCAUUAAAUGCCUAUAUUUCUGGGAUACAGAAGCAGAUGUUGAUUACAAAUCGACAAGCAAUUAUAUGUGCUGCGGCAUUUGGUUUUAUGUUACAGAAGGCCGGGGUCAUGACGAAUGUUUACGAGCUUUGUGAUGUUGACCUGAAAGACUUCAGUCUCCAGGCAUACGGGCAAGAAGAAGGGUGCUUGCUUCGAAGUUAUCCAGCAGAUCUGGUGUAUGACAACUCAACAGGUUUCAGCUUUACUUGCGACUUAAAUGACAAUAUUGCUGCUCCAUGGCCUUCAUCAUCGGCAGCCACAUCCUUGACUCUUUGUGCUCCUGAGAUGUCUUUGCCAGCUCUACCAACAUCAGAAAUAUUGGGAAAUUAUAGCUGUCCCCGUGGUGGAGCGGAUCUCCUUGUGCCCAUUCUUUUGUUUUUUGUCUCGAUAUUGUUUUGAAGAGAUUUGCCAGAAGCUGAUCCAGUUUGAGUUAGAGCCCUGUAGGUACACUGAGUGACCAGAUAUUGUGUAUAUAUGCUUUCGAAUAUCCUUCCUCGUGUAUAGUUGCUGUCUGUAUGGCAAGUCAAUUCAUGGUUUUGCAAUAUUAGACUGUUCGACAGGUAUUUUGCUGAAUUUGAUGAUCUGCGUGUGCAAAUUCUAGACAAUGUGGAUUUGACCAUGUCCAAUUGUGCAAGAGUUGAGGUGCAGGUAGAUUUGCUGGCUAAGUGCCAAAAUAAUAUCAUACCAAAAAUGGUAAACUGCAGGUGACAUAAUGAAGUUUUACAUUGAGAGCUACAAAAUGAAGCGAAAAGAGAUAACAAGAAGGAAUCUGCAAAAGAUGAAGAGAUGAUACAAUGGAACAGUUAAACCAGGAGUCAAUAACCUUCUAAUAGAGGAGUUGGGAGGACCAAACCUGUGGAAUCUUAUGAAAGAAAAGUGUCUUUACUAUGUCAAAGAAGUACAAAUGGUGUACCAAAUAAUAUUCAUCAAGUCUGACAAAUGUCGAAACAUAAAACAAGUUUGAAGCCUCAACAGAGAAGAUGAGGAAGAAGUGAUUAAUCAAGAGAUACAGGUGGGAACUCAUAUCAAGACACAAGGAAACUGAAGUUAAUCAUCAGGGGAGCUACUCAUAAAAACAAGUCUCCUAAUCAGAGCUUUAUAGUCUUAUAAAGGAAUUAGAAAACUCAAACCAACUGCUUAUGCGCUCUUUAAUCCUUGUUAAACUACUGUAAAAUCAGCCAACCAAGCAAGCACGAGAGAUGCGGAGCCCGAAGCUACCAUCGUGACCUAGUCUGAUUCAAAAGAAGGUUGAAGGGUUUGGCAACAACAAAUAGGAAUGACGGAACAACGGCUAUUUUUUCAUUUUAGUUCGACUUAUUUGCAUCUGUUAAGCAUAUAGCUAGGUGCUAGCGUUCCUUUGUGGAUCUCCAAAUUUCACUUGCAAUCAAGUGGCUCAACAUCCUAUUCCUUCUACUAAUUCUUA